UACGAAGGGGGCUAGCGUUGUUCGGAUUUACUGGGCGUAAAGCGCACGUAGGCGGAUCUUUAAGUCAGAGGUGAAAUCCCAAGGCUCAACCUUGGAACUGCCUUUGAUACUGGGGAUCUUGAGUCCGGGAGAGGUGAGUGGAACUGCGAGUGUAGAGGUGAAAUUCGUAGAUAUUCGCAAGAACACCAGUGGCGAAGGCGGCUCACUGGCCCGGUACUGACGCUGAGGCGCGAAAGCGUGGGUAGCAAACAGG
Molecule: ribosomal RNA, 253 nt
Filed under: uncultured bacterium
Lineage: Bacteria
Description: partial 16S ribosomal RNA
Rfam family: Bacterial small subunit ribosomal RNA
Source: RNAcentral